RNAcentral lists this long non-coding RNA (338 nucleotides) under Musa acuminata (dwarf banana). Its description in RNAcentral is "long non-coding RNA (MACU_LNC010496)". Lineage: Eukaryota; Viridiplantae; Streptophyta; Magnoliopsida; Zingiberales; Musaceae. The record is from RNAcentral.
UCCCUCCAACACGGAAUCCUUUAGAUAGUACCUGCCAUCAAUCCUUCUCAGUAUUUUUGCUCGGCAAAUGAAAGAAGAAAAUAUAUCAAGAAUUAAUGGUCUCAACUCUAUGCUUCGCCUUCUAAAUUACCAUGCAUCCACGAAGACCUUAUCCUGAUGCACCAAUGCCAUAUCAGCCAGUGACACACCGUCUUCGUUCUUUGUCAGGUACUUGCAGAUGGGAGCCGCGCCGUACCUCCUCAAAGGGUGGCCAUCCGUCCCUGUGUGGACGGUGCUGCAGCUGACCACUCUGUUAGCCGCGAGCAAGCGGAGUAUUCGGUCUACCGUGGUGGCCGCCU